UUUCGAAUCAUUCACAAUGGGGGCAACCCUGAUGGUGCGACGCCGCGUGGAGGAUGAAGGUCUUCGGAUUGUAAACUCCUGUCAAGGGGGACUAACCCUAUGGCUCAUACCCAUAGCUGCAUUAACCCCUAGAGGAAGCAGUGGCUAACUCUGUGCCAGCAGCCGCGGUAAUACAGAGACUGCAAGCGUUACUCGGAUUCACUGGGCGUAAAGGGAGCGCAGGCGGAAAGAUGUGUCGAUUGUGAAACCCCGGAGCUCAACUCCGGGACUGCGGUCGAAACUGUCUUUCUAGGGACUCGGAGGGGCUAGUGGAAUUCCUGGUGGAGCAGUGAAAUGCGUAGAUAUCAGGAGGAACACCAACGGCGAAGGCAGCUAGCUGGACGAGAUCCGACGCUCAGGCUCGAAAGUAUGGGGAGCAAAAAGGAUUAGAUACCCCCGUAGUCC
This 444-nucleotide ribosomal RNA is filed under the name uncultured bacterium. RNAcentral describes it as "bacterial SSU rRNA". It matches the Rfam family "Bacterial small subunit ribosomal RNA", at positions 355 to 796 of the family's 1533-position model. The record is from RNAcentral.